GCUUCCCUCCGCUCCCUUCGCCGCGCCUCGCGUGCUAGCGGUGCCCUUGUGAGCCACUGCGUUCUCCAAGGCCAGAACGGGACAGUUGACGAUGGUCGUACUUCUCCAUGUUCUGAGACCAGUUUAAACAAAAACAAAAACCAGACAACAACCUUGCAAGGGAAAGAAUUCAGAGUAAAUAAACAGUCUUUUUCUGGGAAGUAAAAUAUUUCCCUAAGAUGGAGAAAUUGAGAUGAGAGCUCAUCCACAAGAUUACCCAUCAAUGAGCACCAAUAGCAACCAAAUCCACUAGAAGACUGGGAGCUUUUAAGUCAAGAAACUUACAUCAGUAUCAUCAUUCCAAGAAGCGGUAUCCAAGCUGUUUUAUCGAAAGUGCGCAUGGGAGAUAAGACUCUGAGAAUUUAUAGAAACAAACAUUAGAAGGCAGGAAUGUGGAGAGAAGAAAGCUACCUGACAAGGGAAUCUCAGGAUACAAGGAAAACACCAAGAUGUGCUUGCCUCCCCUCUGCCUUCCACCAUGGUUGUAAGUUUCCUGAGGUCUACCCAGAAGCAGAAGCCUGGACAGCCUGCAGAACUUAACUUGAAAUUUAUCUACUGAAUUCCUAUUAUGAUAGGAUGUGAGAAUGUCUUCGCUGCAUUAUUAUUUUUCAGCAUUGCCUCUGCUGACUUCAUGGGAGGAAUGGUGUUUCUUCUUCUCUCCCAUGUCAUGGAAGACACUCCUGAUGGCAUGUCUGUAGGUCUGUAGGAAAGAAUAAUCACCUCAGUAGCUUAGUGUGUGUAUGUGUGUGUGUGUGUCUGACACACUGUAGGUACAUAAUAAAGAUUUGAAAAUAUGAGUUUUUUUUAA
Molecule: long non-coding RNA, 847 nt
Filed under: Homo sapiens (human)
Lineage: Eukaryota; Metazoa; Chordata; Mammalia; Primates; Hominidae
Description: lymphatic endothelial transcriptional regulator lncRNA 1
Source: RNAcentral